ACAGAUAUACACUUGGAGAGGCUAUCCUAAAGAUGUCAAUCAGAAAGCGGAAUGCAGAGAAUACAAGGGACUGGAGUAAAAAUGGCAAAGAUUUUUUUCUACAGCAGAACAGAUGUAAUUUCCUCAUUCUCCUCAAUGCAUAUGGAGAUGUUUCAUAAAUGGAUAUGAUUCAUGGAGCUCUAGUCACCACAAAGCUUCCAAUAUUUUUCAGAAGGAAAUAAACUGCCUAUUAACAAUA
Phacochoerus africanus (Common warthog) is the source of this 238-nucleotide long non-coding RNA. RefSeq lists it as uncharacterized. The record is from RefSeq and is a predicted model, not a curated record. The transcript is spliced from 2 exons. Lineage: Eukaryota; Metazoa; Chordata; Mammalia; Artiodactyla; Suidae.